Molecule: transfer RNA, 84 nt
Filed under: Bacteroidota bacterium
Lineage: Bacteria; Pseudomonadati; Bacteroidota
Also listed under: 1 other name
Description: Bacteroidetes bacterium (activated sludge metagenome) tRNA-Leu
Rfam family: tRNA
About the family: Transfer RNA (tRNA) molecules are approximately 80 nucleotides in length.
Source: RNAcentral
GCCGAGAUGGUGAAACUGGUAGACACGCACGUUUCAGAGGCGUGUGGCCGCAAGGCUGUGUGGGUUCGACUCCCAUUCUCGGCA